Molecule: long non-coding RNA, 2931 nt
Filed under: Mus musculus (house mouse)
Lineage: Eukaryota; Metazoa; Chordata; Mammalia; Rodentia; Muridae
Description: long non-coding RNA chr1:187849771-187852702
Source: RNAcentral
AGAGACGCAGCCUGCACAUGAAUCAGAAAACUCAACAACAUAAAGAUGUUGACUCUUCCCAGUGUGACCCAUGGAUUUAAUGACAUUUUGAUAUAGUUCCCAGGAAAACUAUAUUACAAUAUAAACAAAUCAAUUCUAUGGGAGAAUUUUAUUGGAAAGGGAAAUGAAGUUACAUAGUCACAGCAAUUUGGGGAAGAGAAAAAAAAAUCCUUUGUGGACUCCAUACUCCCUGAAUCUAGGACCCGGUGUGUCUGCUUUUGGUGGUGGAAAUCAGGUAGGACUUUGAUGGGAGCAGGGGCCCCUCAGUGGGUCACAACAGACGUAAAGUCACCAACGAAACUAAGUGAAUAUUGACUUUAAAGGGGCCUUUUGUCCCCUCCCCAAGUAGAUAGCAGUUGCACAUAUGUACCUCAGUAAGGAACAAACAAGUCUUUUUAUACCUUAUAUUAAAAUUGCCUAAAGAACUCAAGAUAGACCAGCCAUAAGAAAGUGAAAUAUAAAGUCUAAUGCCUGAUCUGAGGAGGACUUCCUCGAGACCCAAGGUGGGGCAGAAGGUUCUUAGAUACUGAAAGUCUAACCUGGAAAAGAAAAGUGGAUUGGUCUUCAUCAAAAAUGUAAAACUUUUAAUCAUCCACUGUAGAGAAAAUGGAAAGAUGGGUCCCGUCCUGGGCCAGAGUACAGCUGACCCAGUGCUUAUGUUAAAAGCAAAUGAAGGCCCAGGCUUGGCACUCACUUUGUACUCACAUUCAUCACUGGUAAAGACGUGAGGUGAUGGAGCCAGUCAGAAAACACUUUAACAUCACCCUCGUAAAAAAUGUAAUACUCCGAAAUAUAUGCAUGAAUGUUUCUAACAGUGAGUCUAUCCACAGUUGUUCAAAACUGGAUGCAGGCCAAAUGUCUUCCAAGGUAGCUGCACAAAUAAACAGCGACAAUUCAUUCACAGAAUGGAGUACUACCUGUCAAUGAAAAGCCAAGACCUAUCAAUAGCCACAACAAUGUGGGCAGAGCUUUAGGCUGAGGUCCAGAGGUCAUCUCAAGAGGUCUUACAAUGCAUUGUGCCACUGUAGCAGACUGAUAGAAUGGUCUUGACGGAGUCCGAUCACAGCCUUGAGGUAGGACAGUUUGGUCUUGAAGGAUAACCAGAGUGAUCCGGGGAGCAAAUAGAGGUAAUUAUAUAAAUUGAUUUCUUUUUAUACUUAAAUGAAUCCUGCAACCAUGGAAGUUAUAAUACUACCUGGAAGAAGUUAAGAGAUUGGGAAUAAAUAAGUAGCUAAAACAACAUUAAUGUAGGCUUACAGGAGAUUCUGAGAGAGGGCCUAGAUCCUUUAUUAAUUUAUCUUACAAACCUAAGAUCAGCUGGCUUUCAACACUUCUGUAAUGAAAUAGAUUUUGUAGUGAAACAGGUUCUUUUGACUUAGCAGAGCCCCACAAAAUUAUUUUAAUUUAAGGAGCCAGGCUCUCUCGUACUUCCCAUUCACUUAGAGAAGCCUUUCGUCAUUCUCAAUGUGGGCAACUAUCAUCAGAUGCCAUAAAAAUUAUUGUAAGCCUAGAGCAAUGUUACUUGAGUCUGUGUUCCUUGUGCAGUUUAUUGGGUCUUCUCAGUUAGUUGGCACGUACAAGACUUCCUAGCAUGAUGACAGGUAAUAUUCUUUUCUGCCUCAGCUUUGCCAUCUGGUCCCAUCAGGGUGGUUACUCUGUCUGCAGCCGAUGACUAUCCCAAAUCACAUGGCUUUUUCGUAGCAUGAGUAUUGCCACAUAUAUCUUAAAGGAUUUUGGAAAAAGGAAUAAUAAAAAACAACAACAACAACAAACAAACAAAACCCCAGCAUAGCCAUCUCAGUUUUUAUAUUUUAAAUUAAGCCCAUCUAGUACUUGUUUCAUGGUUUGAACUCUUAUGGAGAACAUGACAAAAACCUGUAAUUAGUAAAGGUAUAAAAACAUAAGGUUAAAAAAAAUUCUACAGAGCAGAAAACUAUACAGGAAGAAUGGUGUUUGGUGUGCGCUCUCUUUGUAGCAGUAGAGAACAGCAUCAAAAACUAAAAACCAAAGGAGAGCCGGUCAUGGAUGCUGGUGGUCAGUAGCCUUUUGGAAGUCAGACAUACCUGGUGCUCUUUUGGAAGAUGAAGAUGCCAUGAAGCUUAGCUUUUCCCACUGCCCUGAGGCCCUAGUGAAUCACUUUACCAUACUGUUUUAGUCCAGUUUAAAGCAGAUUUUCCACAGAAGCUGAAGUAUAUGCCUGUGCAUUUCCUAAAAAUAUGCACUUCACUAUUAUUAGGGACAUAUGUAUUUAACAAUAAACUGUAUUAUUAUAUAGCACAAUACAAUGAAACUGGCACACAUCUCCUAUCGGGUAGGGACCCUUAAAAGAUGGCCACUCAUUGCGUUGUCUUAUAAAGUUCGUAAAUGCCCUGCAUAGCUCCUGCAGAGGACUGUCCAGUGAGCAGGGCUUGCUUCUUCACUGAGUGGCUUACAGCAUUAUGUUUCUGAAAGUUGUAUGGUUAUGCUUCAUGGCUGUUAAGUGGCAUGACCACAGUUUGCAUAUGCAGAGUCAGAGUGAACUGUUAGCACAAAUACCUAGGCCUCAUCGCAAACGUGGUCAUCAGUGGUGGCUUCUAAAUGAAAUCAAACACUGCAGAAUGCCCUACCUUCUCCCAGUGUUGUUCUCUCAUAAAUCCUGAGGCUCUGGAGUAGAAAUCAUAGAGUGAAAAGGUAUCUGGAUUUGGAUAUCAAGAGUGCUGACAUUGUCUAAGAUAGAAACUCUGCAUGCAGAAGACACAGAGGUUAGCCAGCAUGGUGGUGCAUGUCUGUGAUCCUUGCACUUGGGAGGCAAAGGCAGGAAGAUCAUCUCAAAGCCAUCCUUGGCUACAUAGCAAGUUCAAGGUCAGCCUGGGCUACAUGAGGUCCUGUUUUGAAAAUAAAAUAAAACAACAC